Long non-coding RNA from Haliotis rubra (blacklip abalone), 128 nucleotides. RefSeq lists it as uncharacterized. The transcript has 3 exons. The record is from RefSeq and is a predicted model, not a curated record. NCBI's taxonomy places the organism in Eukaryota, Metazoa, Mollusca, Gastropoda, Lepetellida, Haliotidae.
GACUGGAUCAUCAUUUUUUCUACCCUCAUAGACAUACCUAUGUCUCGAAUACAGCGAUAAGUCGAAUUUAUUACUUGGUCCCCAGCGAUUCGAGACAUUGGGAUUUGACUGCAUAUCCAUUGUUGAAU